ACGACGUCAAGUCAUCAUGGCCCUUACGAGUAGGGCUACACACGUGCUACAAUGGCGCAUACAGAGGGCUGCAAGCUAGCGAUAGUGAGCGAAUCCCAAAAAGUGCGUCGUAGUCCGGAUUGGAGUCUGCAACUCGACUCCAUGAAGUCGGAAUCGCUAGUAAUCGUAGAUCAGAAUGCUACGGUGAAUACGUUCCCGGGCCUUGUACACACCGCCCGUCACACCAUGGGAGUGGGCUGCAAAAGAAGUGGGUAGUUUAACCUUCGGGAGGACGCUCACCACUUUGUGGUUCAUGACUGGGGUGAAGUCGUAACAAGGUAGCCCUAGGGGAACCUGGGGCUGGAUCACCUCCUUA
Molecule: ribosomal RNA, 355 nt
Filed under: Aliivibrio fischeri SR5
Lineage: Bacteria; Pseudomonadati; Pseudomonadota; Gammaproteobacteria; Vibrionales; Vibrionaceae
Description: bacterial SSU rRNA
Rfam family: Bacterial small subunit ribosomal RNA
Source: RNAcentral